Molecule: long non-coding RNA, 855 nt
Organism: Cygnus olor (mute swan)
Lineage: Eukaryota; Metazoa; Chordata; Aves; Anseriformes; Anatidae
Exons: 3
Source: RefSeq, a predicted model, not a curated record
ACGGUGGUGACAAACAGGAUGCGCCCAGCGGGAUUGUCACCUGCUUGGCGUGAUGGGAGCAUGGGCACAGCCCAGGGUGUGGUUUUGGGCACCCACAGGGACAGCGAUGCUGUCAGCAGCAGCCCUGGCACCUUUCCUGCCCUGUGCAGAGCUGGGGGACUAGGGUGGGCAUAGUGGGGGGGCCACAUGUCUCCUGCAUUGCCUGCUCACCGAGACUUGACUUCAAUAAAGCCCCAGCUCCCAAAUCUGUGCAACCAGUGAAGAGUCACCUCCACUCAGAGCUCAGAAGAGCACUUGGAAACACAACCAGGAAAUGGAAGGGACUUAAGCAGGUCCAAAUCUGGGCUGUGGCUGGCGAUCUCCUGAUAUGGGAGGAGGACAAUGCUGGAUGCCUAGCAGACCAACAGGUGCCCACAAAGCCAAGGCUCCUGCAGCCCAGACCAGCCUGGGGACACAGAAGGCAGAAGCUACUUGGAAAGGAGACAACUGAUACAAGCAAAGAGAGCUGAAGGACCAAGAUCGGCUGCAGGACAACAGAGCUGAGGAAGGCAAGCAGCAAGCAACCUUUGGAAGUGGCUGAUGGCAACCAAGGCCAAGCAAGACAGCAGUGCAGACUUGCUCAUGGCUCAGGAAACACAACUUGGGGCCAGAAGGGCUCCAACAGCUGCCAGAAGGGAUGCUGUAGGGAAGAGAUGAGACUAAUCUACAAAAGCGCAAUGCUGUCAAGACACCUGCGAAACCAUGCUGGUUGGAGAGGACCACCCCUGUAAAACAUCUAUAAAAUGUCCAUAACAUGUACAUUGAGUUUGUUUAGUUCAUGACUUGGCCUCUGUCUGUUAUGGUGUUGACUCAGGA